GCACAGUGGUGAAAUGGUGUAAUUUUUUAAUAAAAGGAAUACAAAUGUCAUGAAAUGCAUAUGGGUAGCCGUGAGUGAGUUUUGGUAAAGCAAAUAUAAGCUUAAGAAAACGUUAGUGUAAAAGAGGAAAUUAUCUGCCUGAGGGUGAGGCGGGAUUCAAUCCUUCAACCGGAGGUUUACCAGUCUGUGACUUUGUUAGUGCAGCACCAUGACAUAGCUAUGCAAUGCGUGAAAUAUCAUCAGUGAACCUGUCCGUGGUUUUAAAGAAGAACACAGGCCAGUAAGCACAGAAGAGCUCCCGUUGAAUCCAUAUGGCUUUGCAAUAUUGUAGCCGGUUAAUAACUGAACGUGCAGACGGUACGUCAUAAUGCAGUGUAAACGUUAGGUGAACGGCGGGUAGAUAUGGUGCAAAAGCAAUAAUUGAGAAGUAGUAGACAAUUAUUAGUGAGGGUAAAAGCAGGUUAAAGAAAUGUGUUCCUAGCUGGGCUUGAACCUAGUAUCCCACGUGCCCAAGACUGUAACCUUGCCCACUAGGCCACAGGUAGACUAGCAGUUUAAACUGGAAAUGUUUCUGAGUAAAAAGGUAUGGGUAUUUUGCGUGUGUAUGCGAGUAUUUGAUUGGGUCGUGUAGGUGAAGAUUUGGCUGGUGUCGGUAAAAUGUCCAAUGGGGAGACAUGUUGUUAGUGGGAUAGGCGGCAGGAAAAAUAAGAAUGAAGAAGAAAAAGAAGAAGGAGAAAACGCAAAAUCACCUUAGUUUGGGGCUUUAUUGUGUGGACAUGUGAAGUUGUUUAUGAAUUCUGUCUGUUGAAAUGGGGUGAGAAUGUACAGAAAUUAAUGUUUUUAAGGGCGGAGUGUCUGUGGCUGUUGUGGUUAUUUCUGUGGGGAACCCUGAAAAGUGCCAAACUCUCGGUGCUGUAUAGGUAUGAGACAUACCCCCGCCAAGGCGUAACUUGGCGGGAUGGCAUACCUGCCAUCCCAAUUUGCUUCUAAGAUAGUAAAACUAGUAACGCUAGUUAAAUAGUUCAAGUAAACAAACGAAGUAAAGAAACAAACGCGGGCGGCGGGGACGGGCAGAUAAUAGGAAAGAAGAGGAAAGAAUGCCGUGAGUCCGGACUAUCCCCAGACGUUGGAGGUUUCCCCUAGGACCAGACCGGUAAAUGGACCAGACUGAUAUAGCUAGCUGGUCAGCUAGCUAACGACGACCCACGGGGACAGAAAGAAAAUGGUGAAGGACAGAACAGUGAACGUGCUGCUCCGCUGUGAACGUCUCUCAUGCUGCGUGUCCGGCUGAAUCCGCAUGUUCCAAACGUUGUCAAAAAUGCAACGGUGGAAAGAGAGAGAGUGAUGCAAAAUGGCUACUGUGUUGCAAAUAAAGUACAGCAGAGCGUAUGCGCCAAUCUCACAUAG
Molecule: long non-coding RNA, 1407 nt
Organism: Anguilla rostrata (American eel)
Lineage: Eukaryota; Metazoa; Chordata; Actinopteri; Anguilliformes; Anguillidae
Exons: 2
Source: RefSeq, a predicted model, not a curated record